UGGGGAGUGAACGGGAUUAGAUACCCCGGUAAUCCACCCCGUAAACGAUGAACACUAGGUGUGGGUGGAGUCAAAUCCAUCCGUGCCAAAGCCAACGCGUUAAGUGUUCCGCCUGGGGAGUACGGCCGCAAGGCUAAAACUCAAAGGAAUUGACGGGGGCCCGCACAAGCAGCGGAGCGUGUGGUUUAAUUCGAUGCAACAAGAAGAACCUUACCAGGGCUUAAAUGGGAGACGACAGGACUGGAAACAGUUUUUUCUUCGGACGUCUUUCAAGGUGCUGCAUGGUUGUCGUCAGCUCGUGCCGUGAGGUGUCAGGUUAAGUCCUAUAACGAGCGCAACCCCUAUUGUUAGUUGCCAGCGGGUCAUGCCGGGAACUCUAACAAGACUGCCGGUGCAAACCGUGAGGAAGGUGGGGAUGACGUCAAAUCAUCACGGCCCUUACGUCCUGGGCUACACACGUGCUACAAUGGACGGUACAGAGAGCAGCCACUGCGCAAGCAGGCGCGAAUCUUCAAAGCCGUUCUCAGUUCGGAUCGGAGUCUGCAACUCGACUCCGUGAAGCUGGAUUCGCUAGUAAUCGCAUAUCAGCCAUGAUGCGGUGAAUACGUUCCCGGGCCUUGUACACACCGC
RNAcentral lists this ribosomal RNA (630 nucleotides) under uncultured Flavobacterium sp. Its description in RNAcentral is "bacterial SSU rRNA". It matches the Rfam family "Bacterial small subunit ribosomal RNA", at positions 762 to 1393 of the family's 1533-position model. Lineage: Bacteria; Pseudomonadati; Bacteroidota; Flavobacteriia; Flavobacteriales; Flavobacteriaceae. The record is from RNAcentral.